This 1245-nucleotide ribosomal RNA is filed under the name metagenome. Its description in RNAcentral is "bacterial LSU rRNA". It matches the Rfam family "Bacterial large subunit ribosomal RNA", at positions 1701 to 2925 of the family's 2925-position model. The record is from RNAcentral.
GGGGUGAAGGAACUAGGCAAAAUGGCACCGUAACUUCGGGAGAAGGUGCGCCUCUUGGUGUGGUCACGUGCGUGACUGAGCAUCGAGGGGUCGCAGUAACCUGGCCGCUGCGACUGUUUAUCAAAAACACAGCACUCUGCAAACACGAAAGUGGACGUAUAGGGUGUGACGCCUGCCCGGUGCUGGAAGGUUAAUUGAUGGGGUCAGCCGCAAGGCGAAGCUCUUGAUCGAAGCCCCAGUAAACGGCGGCCGUAACAAUAACGGUCCUAAGGUAGCGAAAUUCCUUGUCGGGUAAGUUCCGACCUGCACGAAUGGCGUAACGACAGCGGCGCUGUCUCCACCCGAGACUCAGUGAAAUUGAAAUCGCUGUGAAGAUGCAGCGUUCCCGCGGCAAGACGGAAAGACCCCGUGAACCUUUACUAUAGCUUUACACUGAACGUUGAGUUCUUCUGUGUAGGAUAGGUGGGAGGCUAUGAAACCAGGACGCUAGUUCUGGUGGAGCCAUCCUUGAAAUACCACCCUGAAGUGCUUGACGUUCUAACCUAGGUCCGUAAUCCGGAUCGGGGACCGUGUAUGGUGGGUAGUUUGACUGGGGCGGUCUCCUCCCAAAGAGUAACGGAGGAGCACGAAGGUACGCUCAGCGCGGUCGGACAUCGCGCACUGUGUGCAAAGGCAUAAGCGUGCUUGACUGCGAGAUCGACGGAUCAAGCAGGUACGAAAGUAGGUCUUAGUGAUCCGGUGGUUCUGUAUGGAAGGGCCAUCGCUCAACGGAUAAAAGGUACUCCGGGGAUAACAGACUGAUACCGCCCAAGAGUUCAUAUCGACGGCGGUGUUUGGCACCUCGAUGUCGGCUCAUCACAUCCUGGGGCUGUAGCCGGUCCCAAGGGUAUGGCUGUUCGCCAUUUAAAGUGGUACGCGAGCUGGGUUCAGAACGUCGUGAGACAGUUCGGUCCCUAUCUGUCGUGGGCGUUGGAGAUUUGAGGGGGGCUGCUCCUAGUACGAGAGGACCGGAGUGGACGUUCCGCUGGUGUUCGGGUUGUCAUGCCCAUGGCAUUGCCCGGUAGCUACGAACGGAAGUGAUAACCGCUGAAAGCAUCUAAGCGGGAAGCACGCCCCAAGAUGAGAUCUCCCGAGAGCUUGACUCUCCUAAAGGCACCAUCAAGACUAGGUGGUUGAUAGGCACGGUGUGGAAGUGCAGCAAUGCAUUGAGCUUACGUGUACUAAUGAGCCGUGAGGCUUGACCAA